GAUUCUGGGAUUCUGGAAUUCUGAGGAGGGUUCUGGAGUAAUACAGGGCACCCUUUGCCUGUCAGUCAUUCAAAUCCAUUGAAGGGCUGUGUCAUCCAAAGCAUUGCUGACUUUCCAGGUGCCAGCUGGGCUGGCACAGCUGGUUUCCUGUGGUUCACCUCCCUGGAACACCUUGCACAUGGUUUAAGCUGUUUUAUUUUACUACAGCCCCGGGUCUGACUCAGAGAACAGUCAGAUUUGGGCUGUUAUGUGGCAAAGCAAAGCCAUGAGGCACCUCAUGGCCUGCAGUUAAACCAGGCAUGAAAUUACCUCAGUCAUCCACUUGUUAUGAUAUUCCAGGGACAUUUAGCUCUGAGUGGGGCACUGUUGUGCUGAGCUCUGCACACACACGGAAUGAGGCACUUUGGGAGACAUUCCUCAGACAAAUGGAGCCAUCUGUGACAGCCACCGCCAACUCCCUCUGCAAUCAACAGGCACUUCCAGAGGGUGCUGAACUUUGGGGUGGCAGCAUUUGUUGGACCACACAGUGAAUAAGUGACAGAUGACUGGUUUUCUCCCUCUUUCCAAGUAGUUAAACUAAUCCAAGGCUGCCUUUCCUCUUCCCAAGAGAUAUUUUACACUCAGGCAACUCAAAGCAAUCUGCAAACAUGAAAAACUGAUGCCCUGUU
Pseudopipra pipra is the source of this 668-nucleotide long non-coding RNA. RefSeq lists it as uncharacterized. The transcript is spliced from 3 exons. The record is from RefSeq and is a predicted model, not a curated record. Lineage: Eukaryota; Metazoa; Chordata; Aves; Passeriformes; Pipridae.